This 563-nucleotide ribosomal RNA is filed under the name Leptodrepana sp. RK96. RNAcentral's name for it is "eukaryotic LSU rRNA". It matches the Rfam family "Eukaryotic large subunit ribosomal RNA", at positions 437 to 768 of the family's 3401-position model. Lineage: Eukaryota; Metazoa; Arthropoda; Insecta; Hymenoptera; Braconidae. The record is from RNAcentral.
GGAGAUUCAUCGUCAGGGUGUUUGUUAUUAAAUUCAAGUUAUGAUAUGGUAAAUAAUCCUUGUGGUUAGUAUAUUGUACGUGCUUGUAUUAUUUUACCAAAUAGUCGGGGGGGCCUUUUCCCUUUAUUAAAACGUUGGACCCCGUUGGAGGUUAAUUUUGGGCCGAAUGGGUUGCCUUGGAUUUCGGUUUCCAGUAAUUAAAGACCAUUAGUGUUCCUGAUCGGCUGUUUGACGGUACUCGUAUGGUAAUAAGUCGCAGUUUACUGCGUUAAAUCCGUUACAAGUGCGAUUAAUACUCGGCAGUGUGGAUCUAAUGCCAUCGCUAAAAUUAAUCAACUGUUGGUAAGCGGUAUUCUUUAACUGGCUUUUUACCGGUCAGCAACGCUACUGCUUUGGGUACUUUCAGGACCCGUCUUGAAACACGGACCAAGGAGUCUAACAUGUACGCAAGUCAUUGGGAUUUUUUUAAAACAAACCUAAAGGCACAAUGAAAGUAAAGAUUGUCUUAUGAUAAUUGAGGGAAGAUGAGUUACACCACGAUGUAAUUUCGCAUUCCCGGGGCA